Bolinopsis microptera is the source of this 387-nucleotide long non-coding RNA. RefSeq lists it as uncharacterized. Lineage: Eukaryota; Metazoa; Ctenophora; Tentaculata; Lobata; Bolinopsidae. The transcript is spliced from 3 exons. The record is from RefSeq and is a predicted model, not a curated record.
UUUACGAUGGCAGUUUAUAUGGUGGAUGAUGAUUAAUCACUCUACAAUCGCCUGUCACGUGACUUCUUCAACCCGUUCUGUAGAUGGCCCUAAACAACUAUUCGAAACCCGGAAACCAUAACCCUCUAAUCAGAUCCCAACCCUAACGGCCUAACCCUAACCAAACCCUUUACAAAAGCAUAUACUGAAACACUAUAGAGAAAUUAGGCUAACUUCCUUAUACGGUCAUAUCACGUGAUCGAGACAGUUUUUCGCCAAUAUCUCGUUAGGGGAGAAUUUUAACCUUAUGUCAUGGGGGUAAUAGCAAAUUUUAGUUAAAGAGUAAAUCAAAGUUAGCAAUCAUUGAACUCAAUAGUUAAAAAGGAGAAGCUAAAAGCGCUGAAAGAC